GUACGGAAGGCAGCAGUGAAGAAUAUUGGGCAAUGGGCGAAAGCCUGACCCAGCAACGCCGCGUGAAGGAAGAAGGUCUUCGGAUUGUAAACUUCUGUCCCAUGGGACGAACACAAUGACGGUACCAUGGGAGGAAGCCCCGGCUAACUACGUGCCAGCAGCCGCGGUAAUACGUAGGGGGCAAGCGUUGUCCGGAAUUAUUGGGCGUAAAGGGUGCGUAGGCGGCCUUUCAAGUCGGAUGUGAAAUCCCCGUGCUUAACAUGGGAAUUGCAUUCGAAACUGGAGGGCUUGAGUGUGGAAGAGGUAAGUGGAAUUCCCAGUGUAGCGGUGAAAUGCGUAGAUAUUGGGAGGAACACCAGUGGCGAAGGCGACUUACUGGGCCACAACUGACGCUGAGGCACGAAAGCGUGGGGAGCAAACAGGAUUAGAUACCCCGGUAGG
RNAcentral lists this ribosomal RNA (441 nucleotides) under uncultured bacterium. Its description in RNAcentral is "bacterial SSU rRNA". It matches the Rfam family "Bacterial small subunit ribosomal RNA", at positions 339 to 794 of the family's 1533-position model. The record is from RNAcentral.